CGGAAAAGGACCCCGGCGGCCUCGCGGUGGGCAGAACCCAGCAAGGCGAGAGAAACCAGCAGUUUGCUGCGUACCACUUCGUCCGUCAGAUCUUCCAAACAGGCUCCCAGGAAACGCAGCUCCAGCGGGAUGCACAGAUCCAGCAGGCCGCACAAAAACUCCACUCUCUGAGGCGAGGGCAGCUCCGAAAACCACCGCCUUUCCAUCCUCCGUCCCGGAGAGCCGGGCCUUCCUCCGGAGCGGUUCCGACGUACGCGACCGAGGGAAAGAAUCCCUCGCUGAAGGCGGCGCGGAGGCGGACGGCCCGCGGCGGAGGGAUCCCGCGGUGAGGCGUCCCAGCCGGCGCGGAGCGGGGAGGGGGAGAGAGAGAAAAGAAGGAGCGACCGAGCGCCUCCACUCCCGGCCUGACCCCGCGGCGAGGCCCCGCCCACCACCCUCCCCAUUGGCCCGGCCGGCUACUCGCGGCUGGAGAUUGGCUGUUAGCGAGCUGCACCCGCCUCCCUCCCUCUGUCAAUCGCUACCGUUAGGCGCCCGCUUAGCUCCGCCCCCUUCCGCUGAUUGAAUAGGGGAGGGGCGGGAGCGGGCGGCUUUUGUGUGGGGCCGCGGGCGGGCGGGCAGGUUGGGGAUGGGGUGCUGUACCCC
Tympanuchus pallidicinctus (lesser prairie-chicken) is the source of this 642-nucleotide long non-coding RNA. RefSeq lists it as uncharacterized. Lineage: Eukaryota; Metazoa; Chordata; Aves; Galliformes; Phasianidae. The transcript is spliced from 3 exons. The record is from RefSeq and is a predicted model, not a curated record.